CAGAGGGGGCAAGCGUUGUUCGGAAUUACUGGGCGUAAAGGGCGCGUAGGCGGCCCGCUAAGUCGAACGUGAAAUCCCCGAGCUCAACUCGGGAACUGCGUCCGAUACUGGCGGGCUUGAAUCCGGGAGAGGGAUGCGGAAUUCCAGGUGUAGCGGUGAAAUGCGUAGAUAACUGGAGGAACACCGGUGGCGAAGGCGGCAUCCUGGACCGGUAUUGACGCUGAGGCGCGAAAGCUAGGGGAGCAAACGGGAUUAGAUACCCCGGUAGUCCUAGCCCUAAACGAUGAAUGCUUGGUGUGGCGGGUAUCGAUCCCUGCCGUGCCGAAGCUAGCGCAUUAAGCAUUCCGCCUGGGGAGUACGGUCGCAAGGCUG
RNAcentral lists this ribosomal RNA (372 nucleotides) under uncultured organism. RNAcentral's name for it is "bacterial SSU rRNA". It matches the Rfam family "Bacterial small subunit ribosomal RNA", at positions 526 to 896 of the family's 1533-position model. The record is from RNAcentral.